This 603-nucleotide ribosomal RNA is filed under the name uncultured bacterium. RNAcentral's name for it is "bacterial SSU rRNA". It matches the Rfam family "Bacterial small subunit ribosomal RNA", at positions 76 to 680 of the family's 1533-position model. The record is from RNAcentral.
UAGCUUGCUGCCCGCUGACGAGCGGCGGACGGGUGAGUAAUGCAUAGGAAUCUGCCCGAUAGUGGGGGAUAACCUGGGGAAACCCAGGCUAAUACCGCAUACGUCCUACGGGAGAAAGGGGGCUCCGGCUCCCGCUAUGGGAUGAGCCUAUGUCGGAUUAGCUAGUUGGUGAGGUAACGGCUCACCAAGGCCACGAUCCGUAGCUGGUCUGAGAGGAUGAUCAGCCACAUCGGGACUGAGACACGGCCCGAACUCCUACGGGAGGCAGCAGUGGGGAAUAUUGGACAAUGGGGGCAACCCUGAUCCAGCCAUGCCGCGUGUGUGAAGAAGGCCCUCGGGUUGUAAAGCACUUUCAGUGAGGAAGAACGCCUGGUGGUUAAUACCCAUCAGGAAAGACAUCACUCACAGAAGAAGCACCGGCUAACUCCGUGCCAGCAGCCGCGGUAAUACGGAGGGUGCGAGCGUUAAUCGGAAUUACUGGGCGUAAAGCGCGCGUAGGCGGCUUGAUAAGCCGGUUGUGAAAGCCCCGGGCUCAACCUGGGAACGGCAUCCGGAACUGUCAAGCUAAGUGCAGGAGAGGAAGGUAGAAUUCCCGGUGUAGCG